Molecule: ribosomal RNA, 460 nt
Filed under: uncultured bacterium
Lineage: Bacteria
Description: partial 16S ribosomal RNA
Rfam family: Bacterial small subunit ribosomal RNA
Source: RNAcentral
CCUACGGGUGGCAGCAGUGAGGAAUAUUGGUCAAUGGACGAGAGUCUGAACCAGCCAAGUAGCGUGAAGGAUGACUGCCCUAUGGGUUGUAAACUUCUUUUAUAAAGGAAUAAAACGAGGCACGUGUGCCUUUUUGCAUGUACUUUAUGAAUAAGGAUCGGCUAACUCCGUGCCAGCAGCCGCGGUAAUACGGAGGAUCCGAGCGUUAUCCGGAUUUAUUGGGUUUAAAGGGAGCGUAGAUGGGUUGUUAAGUCAGUUGUGAAAGUUUGCGGCUCAACCGUAAAAUUGCAAUUGAUACUGGCAGUCUUGAGUACAGUUGAGGUAGGCGGAAUGCGUGGUGUAGCGGUGAAAUGCUUAGAUAUCACGAAGAACCCCGAUUGCGAAGGCAGCUCACUAAACUGUGACUGACAUUGAUGCACGAAAGUGUGGGUAUCAAACAGGAUUAGAUACCCCAGUAGUC